RNAcentral lists this ribosomal RNA (406 nucleotides) under uncultured bacterium. RNAcentral describes it as "partial 16S ribosomal RNA". It matches the Rfam family "Bacterial small subunit ribosomal RNA", at positions 29 to 526 of the family's 1533-position model. The record is from RNAcentral.
AUUGAACGCUGGCGGCAGGCCUAACACAUGCAAGUCGAACGAGUGGCGGACGGUUGAGUAAUGGCUGGGAAACUGCCCGAUGGAGGGGGAUAACUACUGGAAAAGGUAGCUAAUACCGCAUACCAUCGGAUGUGCCAAGAUGGGAUUAGCUGGUAGGUGAGGUAACGGCCUACCUAGGCGACGAUGCCUAGCUGGGCUGAGAGGAUGACCAGCCACACUGGAACUGAGACACGGGCCAGACUCCUACGGGAGGCAGCAGUUGGGAAUAUUGCACAAUGGGCGCAAGCCUGAUGCAGCCAGGCCGCGUGUAUGAAGAAGGCCUUCGGGUUGUAAAGUACUGUCAGCGGGGAGGCGUUACCCGCAGAAGAAGCACCGGCUAACUCCGUGCCAGCAGCCGCGGUAAUUC